GAUGAACGCUGGCGGCGUGCCUAAUACAUGCAAGUCGAGCGAACAGACGAGGAGCUUGCUCCUCUGACGUUAGCGGCGGACGGGUGAGUAACACGUGGAUAACCUACCUAUAAGACUGGGAUAACUUCGGGAAACCGGAGCUAAUACCGGAUAAUAUAUUGAACCGCAUGGUUCAAUAGUGAAAGACGGUUUUGCUGUCACUUAUAGAUGGAUCCGCGCCGCAUUAGCUAGUUGGUAAGGUAACGGCUUACCACGGCGACGAUGCGUAGCCGACCUGAGAGGGUGAUCGGCCACACUGGAACGGAGACACGGUCCAGACUCCUACGGGAGGCAGCAGUAGGGAAUCUUCCGCAAUGGGCGAAAGCCUGACGGAGCAACGCCGCGUGAGUGAUGAAGGUCUUCGGAUCGUAAAACUCUGUUAUUAGGGAAGAGCAAAUGUGGAAGUAACUAUGCACGUCGUGACGGUACCUAAUCAGAAAGCCACGGCUAACUACGUG
RNAcentral lists this ribosomal RNA (497 nucleotides) under uncultured bacterium. Its description in RNAcentral is "partial 16S ribosomal RNA". It matches the Rfam family "Bacterial small subunit ribosomal RNA", at positions 28 to 507 of the family's 1533-position model. The record is from RNAcentral.